RNAcentral lists this long non-coding RNA (1731 nucleotides) under Homo sapiens (human). RNAcentral's name for it is "HSALNT0370176". Lineage: Eukaryota; Metazoa; Chordata; Mammalia; Primates; Hominidae. The record is from RNAcentral.
GUAAAAGGUACCACAUUCCAAACUCUCCAAUUUCAGUGUGGAACUGAAGGUUUCCAGAAUUCUGGAGACAAUGAAAUAAGAUUUGCACACUGUGACAACACAGGUCUCUAACAGCGAAUCCAAGACUGGGAUUUUUUUAAAGCUCUCUUCCCUUCCCCACCUUGAGUGUACAAUGGAGAGUGCUAGUGUGGUGUCACAUGGUGCAACAUGGCUCAGUGUUGUGUGAAACUAAGAUUUGGGGCAUAUUUUAUAAUGAACAUAACAUAUGAGCAUAACAGUCGUGAUUAACGUAUACAAUUAAAGAUAUGUGGAAAUGACUCCAUCUCCGACCACACAUCCUCUGAGUAAUUUUGAUGGGGAUGGCUUAUGUUCUACUGCCACCUCGUGGUGGGCAUUCUGUGAACAUGCAUCUUGGAACAGUGGGGAGAACCAGUUUGGACUUCUGAGGAUCCAAAAGCCCAAGAAAAAAAUCUGAGUUCUCACGACAAAGUCACUUCCUGCUACAACACCUGGAAAAUGUCAUGACCCGAGCUAGUCUCACUUCAGAGUCCCUGGUUUCUAGUACGGUGCCUGACAGAUAGAUGACUUUCUUUAUAUGUUGCUGAAGACAGGCAGAGAGGAAGAAAGGAAGAGAGGAUAAAGGGAGGAAUAAACUUGAUAUAAGCAUCUUUGCAUAAUUAACAACUGGGUCAAAUUUUCUUCAUUUCAUUGAGAUUCUUGAUACAAGCCUCUGCUGAUGAAUUGGAUUCCAAAAAGAUAUUGUUGUCCAGGCCACACCAUACGGGACUUACCACUCCCAGUUGCUAACAUCUGCACGUAUUUGCCUGGAGGUCUCCUCUGGUCACCAGAUCCUACUCUGCCUGGGCCACAUGACAAGGUGAUGUGCUGAGGAACAAAAGCCCCCAGGAGUAUCCCUCAAGCAGUGUUGGACUGGAGUUGAGCAGGUCAUGAUCCACAUGAAAAACUGAGGGAAGACAUCCAGGACCUGCUGGAGAGCACAUGGAAAAAAGUUGGGACACAGAAAAGGAAAGCAGCAAGAGUCGGGCAGAGAUUGAUCCCCAAGGAACUUGGAAUACCAUGGGAAAGGUUAAUCGUCCUCGAAGAGAGAGAGAAACAAAAGAAAAAUGAAAAAAGGAAAGAAAUUUUCUCCACAAAGACUCAGAAAAGCUACAAUCCUAAGAAGUCAAAACUAUAAUCGGCUUGAGUUGAAGAAUCCAAGGAUCUUUACAGUUUUGUGACCUGUCCAAGGUUACACAGCUCACCUUUUCAUUUUGCACUGGGCCCAAGUUAUGUAGCCAGCCUGCUUAGAGAUCUCUACUUACCCCAGUUUUCUGAUUUAUAAAACAAAAAUAAUAAUAAUAUUGUUAAAUUAAAUGAAGCCUAAAGCUGCCUCCCUAUGUAUUUUUAAUUUGGCCUAAAGGUUUCUUCGUACAGAGUGAACUAUAACCUGACUAGAUGUGUGAUCUACUCUUGUGCCAAUCAUCAAGUUUUAACCAAUCGAAGGGAGCCAACUGCUUAAACCAUGUUCAAAUAAGGCAAAUGUCCAGCUGUAACCACUUCAGCUGUUUCUGUGCCUCACUUCUGUCUUCUACACAUCACUUUCCUUUUUCUAUCCAUAAAUGUUUUUUGAUCAUGCAGCAGCAUGAAGUUGAUCUGAACCUACUUUGGUUUGGGAGACUGCCCAAUUCGUGAAUCAAUUAAACUGUUAAAUUUAAUUUGUCUAAGGUUUUU